RNAcentral lists this ribosomal RNA (826 nucleotides) under aquatic bacterium R1-B26. Its description in RNAcentral is "bacterial SSU rRNA". It matches the Rfam family "Bacterial small subunit ribosomal RNA", at positions 8 to 830 of the family's 1533-position model. The record is from RNAcentral.
AGAGUUUGAUCAGGCUCAGAUUGAACGCUGGCGGAAUGCUUUACACAUGCAAGUCGAACGAUGAACCUUAGCUUGCUAGGGGGAUUAGUGGCGAACGGGUGAGUAAUAUAUCGGAACGUACCUUGUAAUGGGGGAUAACUAGUCGAAAGAUUAGCUAAUACCGCAUACGCCCUGAGGGGGAAAGUAGGGGAUCUUCGGACCUUACGUUAUAAGAGCGGCCGAUAUCUGAUUAGCUAGUUGGUGGGGUAAUGGCCUACCAAGGCGACGAUCAGUAGCUGGUCUGAGAGGACGACCAGCCACACUGGAACUGAGACACGGUCCAGACUCCUACGGGAGGCAGCAGUGGGGAAUUUUGGACAAUGGGCGCAAGCCUGAUCCAGCCAUUCCGCGUGAGUGAAGAAGGCCUUCGGGUUGUAAAGCUCUUUCGCAAGGGAAGAAAACUUACACAAUAACACUGUGUGAGGCUGACGGUACCUUGAUAAGAAGCACCGGCUAACUACGUGCCAGCAGCCGCGGUAAUACGUAGGGUGCGAGCGUUAAUCGGAAUUACUGGGCGUAAAGCGUGCGCAGGCGGUUUUGUAAGUCAGAUGUGAAAUCCCCGAGCUCAACUUGGGAACUGCGUUUGAAACUGCCAGACUAGAAUAUGUCAGAGGGGGGUAGAAUUCCUCGUGUAGCAGUGAAAUGCGUAGAGAUGUGGAGGAAUACCAAUGGCGAAGGCAGCCCCCUGGGAUAAUAUUGACGCUCAUGCACGAAAGCGUGGGGAGCAAACAGGAUUAGAUACCCUGGUAGUCCACGCCCUAAACGAUGUCUACUAGUUGUUGGUGGA